AGAGUUUGAUCAUGGCUCAGAACGAACGCUGGCGGCAUGCCUAACACAUGCAAGUCGAACGCCUGUAGCAAUACAGGAGUGGCGCACGGGUGAGUAACGCGUGGGAACCUGCCUAGUGGUAAGGAAUAACCGCGGGAAACUGCGGCUAAUACCUUAUGAGCCCUACGGGGGGAAAGAUUUAUCGCCAUUAGAGGGGCCCGCGUCUGAUUAGCUAGUUGGUGAGGUAACGGCUCACCAAGGCGACGACCGGUAGCUGGUCUGAGAGGAUGAUCAGCCACACUGGGACUGAGACACGGCCCAGACUCCUACGGGAGGCAGCAGUGGGGAGUAUUGGACAAUGGGGGCAACCCUGAUCCAGCAAUGCCGCGUGAGUGAUGAAGGCCUUAGGGUUGUAAAGCUCUUUCGACGGGGAAGAUGAUGACGGUACCCGUAGAAGAAGCCCCGGCUAACUUCGUG
RNAcentral lists this ribosomal RNA (456 nucleotides) under uncultured bacterium. RNAcentral's name for it is "bacterial SSU rRNA". It matches the Rfam family "Bacterial small subunit ribosomal RNA", at positions 8 to 507 of the family's 1533-position model. The record is from RNAcentral.